UGCAAGUCGAACGAGAAUCUGUGGAAGAGGAUUCGUCCAAUUGAAGCAGAGGACAGUGGCGGACGGGUGAGUAACGCGUGAGGAACCUGCCUUUCAGAGGGGGACAACAGUUGGAAACGACUGCUAAUACCGCAUGACACAUCGGAGUCGCAUGGCUCUGAUGUCAAAGAUUUAUCGCUGAAAGAUGGCCUCGCGUCUGAUUAGCUAGUUGGUGAGGUAACGGCCCACCAAGGCGACGAUCAGUAGCCGGACUGAGAGGUUGAACGGCCACAUUGGGACUGAGAUACGGCCCAGACUCCUACGGGAGGCAGCAGUGGGGAAUAUUGGGCAAUGGGCGCAAGCCUGACCCAGCAACGCCGCGUGAAGGAAGAAGGCUUUCGGGUUGUAAACUUCUUUUGUCAGGGACGAGUAGAAGACGGUACCUGACGAAUAAGCCACGGCUAACUACGUGCCAGCAGCCGCGGUAAUACGUAGGUGGCAAGCGUUGUCCGGAUUUACUGGGUGUAAAGGGCGUGUAGCCGGGAGGGCAAGUCAGAUGUGAAAUCCACGGGCUCAACUCGUGAACUGCAUUUGAAACUACUCUUCUUGAGUAUCGGAGAGGCAAUCGGAAUUCCUAGUGUAGCGGUGAAAUGCGUAGAUAUUAGGAGGAACACC
Molecule: ribosomal RNA, 654 nt
Filed under: uncultured bacterium
Lineage: Bacteria
Description: bacterial SSU rRNA
Rfam family: Bacterial small subunit ribosomal RNA
Source: RNAcentral